GCCUGGGUGGCUCAGUUGGUUGAGCAUCUGACUUCAGCUCAGGUCAUGAUCUCUCAGUUUGUGAGUUCGAGCCCCGCGUCAGGCU
This 85-nucleotide transfer RNA is filed under the name Felis catus (domestic cat). It matches the Rfam family "tRNA". From Rfam's summary of the family: Transfer RNA (tRNA) molecules are approximately 80 nucleotides in length. Their secondary structure includes four short double-helical elements and three loops (D, anti-codon, and T loops). Further hydrogen bonds mediate the characteristic L-shaped molecular structure. tRNAs have two regions of fundamental functional importance: the anti-codon, which is responsible for specific mRNA codon recognition, and the 3' end, to which the tRNAs corresponding amino acid is attached (by aminoacyl-tRNA synthetases). tRNAs cope with the degeneracy of the genetic code in two manners: having more than one tRNA (with a specific anti-codon) for a particular amino acid; and 'wobble' base-pairing, i.e. permitting non-standard base-pairing at the 3rd anti-codon position. The record is from Rfam by way of RNAcentral. Lineage: Eukaryota; Metazoa; Chordata; Mammalia; Carnivora; Felidae.